AAGCACUUAUGACCAGACUUGGACCCGGUGAAUCAUCCAGCGUUCUCGCUGGUGCACUUUGCCGGGCUCAGGCCAGCAUCAGUUUGCCCCGGGGGAUAAAGGCUUUGGGAAUGUGGCUCCCUCGGGAGUGUUAUAGCCCAUUGCACAAUACCCUGGGGCGGACUGAGGUUCGCGCAUCUGCAAGGAUGCUGGCGUAAUGGUCAUCAG
RNAcentral lists this ribosomal RNA (207 nucleotides) under Pochonia chlamydosporia. Its description in RNAcentral is "partial large subunit ribosomal RNA". Lineage: Eukaryota; Fungi; Ascomycota; Sordariomycetes; Hypocreales; Clavicipitaceae. The record is from RNAcentral.